This 153-nucleotide unclassified non-coding RNA is filed under the name uncultured Trichocomaceae. RNAcentral describes it as "sequence contains ITS2". The record is from RNAcentral. Lineage: Eukaryota; Fungi; Ascomycota; Eurotiomycetes; Eurotiales; Trichocomaceae.
CUGCCCUCAAGCGCGGCUUGUGUGUUGGGUGCGGUCCCCCCGGGGACCUGCCCGAAAGGCAGCGGCGACGUCCGUUGGGUCCUCGAGCGUAUGGGGCUUUGUCACUCGCUCGGGAAGGACCUGCGGGGGUUGGUCACCACCAUAUUUUACCAC